CGUAGGGCAAUAUAAUUGUCAGGAGAAGCUACAAUGUAUACUCCAAGGUACUAACAUUUGACACUACAGUCCCUGCUAUAGUUUAGUAUGUUCUUCGUAUAUGCUUUAUGCAACUUUCUUAUGUUCUAACUGCACAACCUUACUAUUCCAAAUGUCUGAUCAGUUUUAAAACACACGUGUCCUUACAUACUUUAACAUGAGACUGCAGUGAAAAAUUCAGUGACCUUGAAUAGUGAACUAUACUUGACUUUCGAGCAACAGAAUGUAUUGUCAACACCGACAGGGCAAGAGAAAAUAUAAGUUGCUGGAAAGGCCACGCAAAUUGAUGCUUCCAUACCGGCUUGAGUACACCUUUCUGAAGAAAUUGCAGUUGAUUGGUAACACGCCCUGGGCGAUUAGGUGGAGGCACAACAGGUGGUUGGACUACACCAUUCACAGGUUCCACGGGUGGUUCAUCACGUGGAGGUGGCUCCUUUGCCGGGGUUGCUGGUGUAGUCGUUGUCUUACCAGGUGCACUUGUCUGCAUUAUCCAGUUAAUACAUAUGUGUUUUAUGUCGAUGUUACUUUAUUUCAUUAGUUAGCUCUAUAACUACUAUUGUUAUGUAAUAUUAAAUCCAUGAAUAAAAAUAAAAUUCUCCCGCAAAGCACAAAUUAGACCACUACUUCUUUUUCAUAUAAAAUCAAUCUAUUUAGUAAUUAAAAUUGCAAAUAAUAUUGCUAUAUAGAUCAUGCUUUGGUAUUCUAUUACUUUUAUUUUUAUAAAACCUUUAAUCUUAUUAGAUAAGAAUAGAGGUUAUUGUUUUUAAUAAGAUAGUCCCUCAAAGUUCUAGUAAAAACUGCUUAACACACAACAAAGUUA
RNAcentral lists this unclassified non-coding RNA (859 nucleotides) under Bombus terrestris (buff-tailed bumblebee). RNAcentral describes it as "misc RNA ENSBTSG00005031785.1". The record is from RNAcentral. Lineage: Eukaryota; Metazoa; Arthropoda; Insecta; Hymenoptera; Apidae.